Molecule: ribosomal RNA, 533 nt
Filed under: uncultured bacterium
Lineage: Bacteria
Description: bacterial SSU rRNA
Rfam family: Bacterial small subunit ribosomal RNA
Source: RNAcentral
GGCCUUGACAUACUAAGAACUUUCCAGAGAUGGAUUGGUGCCUUCGGGAACUUAGAUACAGGUGCUGCAUGGCUGUCGUCAGCUCGUGUCGUGAGAUGUUGGGUUAAGUCCCGCAACGAGCGCAACCCUUUUCCUUAUUUGCCAGCGGGUCAUGCCGGGAACUUUAAGGAUACUGCCAGUGACAAACUGGAGGAAGGCGGGGACGACGUCAAGUCAUUAUGGCCCUUACGGCCAGGGCUACACACGUGCUACAAUGGUCGGUACAAAGGGUUGCUACCUCGCGAGAGGAUGCUAAUCUCAAAAAGCCGAUCGUAGUCCGGAUCGCAGUCUGCAACUCGACUGCGUGAAGUCGGAAUCGCUAGUAAUCGCGGAUCAGAAUGCCGCGGUGAAUACGUUCCCGGGCCUUGUACACACCGCCCGUCACACCAUGGGAGUUUGUUGCACCAGAAGUAGGUAGUCUAACCGCAAGGAGGACGCUUACCACGGUGUGGCCGAUGACUGGGGUGAAGUCGUAACAAGGUAAGCGUAGAUGA